UCCCCUGUAGCUCAAUUGGUAGAGCAGGUCGCUGUUAACGACAAGGUUGCAGGUUCGAGACCUGCCGGGGGAG
RNAcentral lists this transfer RNA (73 nucleotides) under Candidatus Roizmanbacteria bacterium. RNAcentral describes it as "tRNA-Asn". It matches the Rfam family "tRNA". From Rfam's summary of the family: Transfer RNA (tRNA) molecules are approximately 80 nucleotides in length. Their secondary structure includes four short double-helical elements and three loops (D, anti-codon, and T loops). The record is from RNAcentral. Lineage: Bacteria; Candidatus Roizmaniibacteriota.